Molecule: ribosomal RNA, 458 nt
Filed under: Cutibacterium acnes
Lineage: Bacteria; Bacillati; Actinomycetota; Actinomycetes; Propionibacteriales; Propionibacteriaceae
Description: bacterial SSU rRNA
Rfam family: Bacterial small subunit ribosomal RNA
Source: RNAcentral
ACGCUGGCGGCGUGCUUAACACAUGCAAGUCGAACGGAAAGGCCCUGCUUUUGUGGGGUGCUCGAGUGGCGAACGGGUGAGUAACACGUGAGUAACCUGCCCUUGACUUUGGGAUAACUUCAGGAAACUGGGGCUAAUACCGGAUAGGAGCUCCUGCUGCAUGGUGGGGGUUGGAAAGUUUCGGCGGUUGGGGAUGGACUCGCGGCUUAUCAGCUUGUUGGUGGGGUAGUGGCUUACCAAGGCUUUGACGGGUAGCCGGCCUGAGAGGGUGACCGGCCACAUUGGGACUGAGAUACGGCCCAGACUCCUACGGGAGGCAGCAGUGGGGAAUAUUGCACAAUGGGCGGAAGCCUGAUGCAGCAACGCCGCGUGCGGGAUGACGGCCUUCGGGUUGUAAACCGCUUUCGCCUGUGACGAAGCGUGAGUGACGGUAAUGGGUAAAGAAGCACCGGCUAACU